GACUCUGGCCGCGGCGAUUCAAUAUAUCCGGAAGCAACUGUCAUGGCUGCUGUCAGUGAGGGCCCGUAAUGGAGAUCGAGUCAAGGGUUGCCCAGGGACACUUAAGAGCCUUCGGCUUCAAGGAGGCCUCUCAAAGGACAAAGGAUGAGACUGCCUGGCGGCAGAGUGCCCCCCACAAUCGUAGGAACUGUGUCGCCGCGCUUCCCGUUAACUUGCCGCUAAGUUUUUCUAGAAAAGUCGCCCUUCUUGCCAGGGGUGUCCUAUAGACUUUGUCAUGGAGUGAAACAGAAACAAAUAAUUUAUAUCAAAUACAGAUUAAUUUGAAAAUUUGACAUUUGGAGAUAAUCUCAGUGACUAAAAAGAAUAAAACAGGCAUGGGACACUUGCAAGGAGGAACAGAAACAAAAUUUUAAAACCCUCUCAUUACUUAACCUACAGCAAAGAUGAAUUUAUAAGCAUCUCAUUUAAACUCUAGGGUAAGUAAAUUUUUAAAAAGUUUUUAGAGAAUGAGAAAUACAAAGAGAUUUUGCUAAUUUAAGACGUCGUCGUUUUUAGUUUAGUGUACUGGGUAAAGGAUUUUCCAAGUUAACUAACAACUUUAUUCUCCAAAUCCUGAGUUUUUACUUUUAGGUGUCAGCCAUGACUUCUUCUCAUCAGGAGUAUUUAAAAAUGUUAUCCUACCAGUUGGUGAAAAAAUAUCACACCUCCUUUCUAAUCUUUAUUGGAAAAUCUCCUUUUCUUUUCUUUUUUUCUUUUCUGUUGAGGCCUGGUCUCGCUCUGUUGCCCAGGCUGGAGUGCAGUGGCGCAGUCUCUGCUCACUGUACCCUCUGCCUCCCAGGUUCAAGCGAUUCUCCUGCCUCAGCCUCCCGGGUAGAGGGGAUUACAGGCACCCGUCACCACACCCAGCUAAGUUUUGUAUUUUUUCAGUAGAGACAGAGUUUCGCCUGGUCUCGAAUUCCUGACUUCAAGUGAUCCACCCCCCUUGGCCUCCCAAAGUGCUGGGAUUACAGGCAUGAGCCACCGUGCCCAGCCAGAAAAAAAUCAUUCUUUAUAGUCAAAGCUUAAAUGCUUCAUGACCCAUCUUCAUAGGAGAGUAUUCUUUUUAUGCUCUGUUCCCUGAUUUGGUGACUGUGAGAACUCUUAUAUAACAUUUAUGAAGUGCUUACACAGCAUUAAGAGAUAGGCAUGAAAAGAUGACUACAUCUUGCCUCAGCCCUGCAAGUACCUAUGGGAGAGUGACAUUUAAAUGUAUACAUGUAGCUAGGUGUGGUGGCUCAUGCCUAUAAUCCUAGCACUUUGUGAGGCUGAGACAGGAGGAUCGCUUGAGGCCAGGAGUUCAGACCACUGUGAGCAACAUAGGGAUCUCAUCUCUACAAAAAAUAAAAAAAAUUAGCCAGGUGUGGUGGUUUGCAACUGUAGUCCUGGCUGUUCAGGAGGCUGAGGUGGGAAGAUCACUUGAGCUUAGGAGGUCAAGGCUUCAGUGAGCUGUGAUUUUGCCACUGCAUUCCAGCCUGGUGACAGAGUGAGACCUUGUCUCCAGUCGAUCAAUCAAUCAAUC
Pan troglodytes (chimpanzee) is the source of this 1558-nucleotide long non-coding RNA. RefSeq lists it as uncharacterized. NCBI's taxonomy places the organism in Eukaryota, Metazoa, Chordata, Mammalia, Primates, Hominidae. The record is from RefSeq and is a predicted model, not a curated record. The transcript is spliced from 3 exons.